RNAcentral lists this unclassified non-coding RNA (245 nucleotides) under Hevea brasiliensis (rubber tree). The record is from RNAcentral. Lineage: Eukaryota; Viridiplantae; Streptophyta; Magnoliopsida; Malpighiales; Euphorbiaceae.
GCAAUCAGUGCGCCCACGAGCACUCUUGGUACAGUCAGGAACAGCGCACCGCUUCCCCCCUCCGUGGGCCACACAGUAGUCCGUCCCACCAUGGACACUCUUCGGGCACAACCCACCCCCUUCAAAAAGACACCGCCUCCCUCCACCAUGUCCUUUGCACAGAGGCGUACUUCCCUCAGCUCCUUUCGUGCACCCCUCAAAUAUGCAGCGCUUACCACCACCAUGGGCCUUACAGUGCAUGGUGC